CAGUCGAACGAAACUUUUUUUAUCACCGAGUGCUUGCACUCACCGAUAAAGAGUUGAGUGGCGAACGGGUGAGUAACACGUGGGCAACCUGCCCAAAAGAGGGGGAUAACACUUGGAAACAGGUGCUAAUACCGCAUAACCAUAGUUACCGCAUGGUAACUAUGUAAAAGGUGGCUAUGCUACCGCUUUUGGAUGGGCCCGCGGUGCAUUAGCUAGUUGGUGGGGUAAAGGCUUACCAAGGCAAUGAUGCGUAGCCGAACUGAGAGGUUGAUCGGCCACAUUGGGACUGAGACACGGCCCAAACUCCUACGGGAGGCAGCAGUAGGGAAUCUUCCACAAUGGGCGAAAGCCUGAUGGAGCAACGCCGCGUGGGUGAAGAAGGUCUUCGGAUCGUAAAACCCUGUUGUUAGAGAAGAAAGUGCGUGAGAGUAACUGUUCACGUUUCGACGGUAUCUAACCAGAAAGCCACGGCUAACUACGUGCCAGCAGCCGCGGUAAUACGUAGGUGGCAAGCGUUAUCCGGAUUUAUUGGGCGUAAAGGGAACGCAGGCGGUCUUUUAAGUCUGAUGUGAAAGCCUUCGGCUUAACCGGAGUAGUGCAUUGGAAACUGGGAGACUUGAGUGCAGAAGAGGAGAGUGGAACUCCAUGUGUAGCGGUGAAAUGCGUAGAUAUAUGGAAGAACACCAGUGGCGAAAGCGGCUCUCUGGUCUGUAACUGACGCUGAGGUUCGAAAGCGUGGGUAGCAAACAGGAUUAGAUACCCUGGUAGUCCACGCCGUAAACGAUGAAUGCUAAGUGUU
Molecule: ribosomal RNA, 799 nt
Filed under: uncultured bacterium
Lineage: Bacteria
Description: bacterial SSU rRNA
Rfam family: Bacterial small subunit ribosomal RNA
Source: RNAcentral